Molecule: non-coding RNA, 113 nt
Organism: Acanthosepion pharaonis
Lineage: Eukaryota; Metazoa; Mollusca; Cephalopoda; Sepiida; Sepiidae
Source: the annotation of a GenBank genome assembly
UUACGGUCAUAUUACUUUGAAAUACCGGUUGCCAUACGAUCACCGAAGUUAAACAAAGUCGAACCUGGUCAGUGCCUAGAUGGGUAACUGCUUGGGGAUAUCAGGUGCUGUAA